CCAGCAGCAGGUUGUUCUUCAUUUCUUUUAAUGUUCGUCCAGUACAUUGCUAAACAAGAGAUUAGAUCAGUCUGUAUAUGCUAUCAUUUCUUCCCCUAAAUAUAGAGGAUGAAAUCAGUGUUCAAAAUAAUUAAGGAAAGCCCACUUUAGUGUCCUUAUCUUGUUAUCAGAAAUUUUGGAGGCACAGAAAACCUUGCUAAUCACUGCCUCCCUUGUCAUUGUUAGACAAAUUACAGCACCAAAGCUGUACGGUGGGAAAUGAGAUACCAAACUAAAAUGAAUUAUCCACAAUGGAGUCAUGACGAGAAAAGUCAGUGCUCAGUAAACUCAUCCAGGAGUUUGAAGUACCAUUGCCUUCCCAGCUAAAGAUUUGAGUUAUGGCUUUGGGUAAACAGCUACAAAAAGACUUCAAGGACAGAGAUACGCUGGAUAUAAGAUGAAAAAAUUACUAAUCCUGCAGCCUCCCUGUCUGCACACUCACAUUUUACUGGAGAUGGUCCCAAAAAUGUUCUUUUGUCUGCAUUAGUGUUUAGAACAAUAUCAGAUCUUUUGUGCUGCUUUCCUGUAGCUAAGCCACAUCUGCCCUUUGAAGCCAAGUCCAUGUGAAUAGCCAUGCUCCACAGCCUCCUGUGCAUUGUACCUGUACCAAGCUGCCUGGGAAUGUCUCCUGUUGAAAAUACAUGCUAUGCAGGAAAGGGUAGUCUAUAUCCUCUCUCUCUCUCUCUCUUUCUCUGUCAAUAUAAGUAUACAGUGGACAGUUUCACUCUCCAUCAAAGCCCAAAAUAUCUUGGGCUUGAACAGAUCCAGAAACUCCAGCAUAUUCUGGUCAACACAUCCUUCACUUCAAGCUGUUUAUUACAAACACUGUACAUGAGCCUCAGAGUGUGUCACAGACUGAACAUUGUUCAGGACUGGUGGAGCUCAUGCUGUCAGUGUUGGAUUUUUAAUCAUUAGUAAAAUCAUUUACCAGUGUUACUGUGCUGCCCCUCUGCCAUAUUUAAGGUCAUUCACAAACUAUGUACAGUUAGAGAGAUUUCAGGUACCUGCAUUUUCUGGAAAUAGAGAUCAGAACACAUGCUUAACAGGAAGGCUACCUCCUCCUGCUCACUCAACAAUGUGCCUCAGCAUAGAAUUCAAAUGUUCCUUGAACACCUCCAAGGUAGGUGACUCCGCCACCUCCCUGGGCAGCCUCCCUGCUACAUCUGUCUGUGGCUCCCUGCAGCUGACAAACACCUCAUUUCGACGGAAUUUCAUUAUUUUUAUGUUUGGUCCAAAGCUCCACAUGGAGUGAUGGGACAAUAGGGCCACAGGAGAAAGUCACAAGAAACCGAUAGGAACAAGGAAAGGCUAAAAUGAAAAAAGCAACAGAUCAGCAAUGAAAACUUGGCCAGCUGGCAUACAAACAUUUCAGUGAAAUUCAUUAAAACUAUCCCAGUGCAUGCCAAGAUUUACUGAACUCUUCACUAGUAAACAGAGAUAGCCAAGAGCAACAGUCCUAGUCUAGUAAUGUCAAAAUCAAUUGCUGCUAUUCCAUUUAGCAUUAUACUGCACCUAAUGUUGGGUUAUACGUAGGCACGUUUAUUAAUUGUCACUAUUCUUUUUUGUAAACCUAUCCAUCAAAGAGUGCAAUUUUAGGGGGAGGAUAUUGAGGGUGCACUUCUCACUCUGGCCAUUGUGCAGCAGCUCUUUAGAGGAAAAAAAAAAAAAGACUUGUUUUGGGUGAGUUGAAGGGGAAAGAGAAGAAAACCUAAUCACUUUCUGGAUUUAAGCUAAUUCCUGUGUUACAGUUGCAAAGAUGGGAUGAAGCAAAUUUUCUGCUUUGUUAAGGCUCCUAAUCAGAGAAAAGCCAGAGCUGCAGUGAGUACUUGUGAUCUUGGCUGGAAGAUACAGGAGAAAUCAGAGUGACACACCGAAGAUCUGAGUUCAUCAUUCAAGCUUUCCUUCUCAGUUUGUCUGUCUGCUGUACCCAUGACAGAGGACACAAAGGAACUAAUGAAGGAGCAGACUGUUUUGCCCAGUCAGGCACAACAGAAUUUCACUAUGGAAGUUCCAUUAGACAGUUACAGGCUGAGACCUAAAACUGCAUAGUGGAUGUAGGGGUUACACAUCUGCCUUCUGUGUGGAACACAUUUCAUGCCGUUGAAUUAGCAAUGAAAUAAAUGUCAGCAUCUGAGCUGAA
Lagopus leucura (white-tailed ptarmigan) is the source of this 2179-nucleotide long non-coding RNA. RefSeq lists it as uncharacterized. Lineage: Eukaryota; Metazoa; Chordata; Aves; Galliformes; Phasianidae. The record is from RefSeq and is a predicted model, not a curated record. The transcript has 2 exons.